Molecule: transfer RNA, 77 nt
Filed under: compost metagenome
Description: tRNA-Lys
Rfam family: tRNA
About the family: Transfer RNA (tRNA) molecules are approximately 80 nucleotides in length. Their secondary structure includes four short double-helical elements and three loops (D, anti-codon, and T loops).
Source: RNAcentral
GGGUCGCUAGCUCAGCUGGAUAGAGCAAUCCCCUUUUAAGGGAUUGGUCAUGUGUUCGAAUCACAUGCGACCCACCA